Molecule: non-coding RNA, 617 nt
Organism: Salvelinus sp. IW2-2015
Lineage: Eukaryota; Metazoa; Chordata; Actinopteri; Salmoniformes; Salmonidae
Source: RefSeq, a predicted model, not a curated record
GGCCUGAUUGAGCUCUUAGCCCUGAGCUAAAAUCUCCCUUCGCCCAGACCUGAGGAGGCUCUUAGCCCUGAGCUAAAAUCUCCCUUCGCCCAGACCUGAGGAGGCUCUUAGCCCUGAGCUAAGGUGCAGUGUGAAUAUUCUCUUAGCCCUGAGCUAAGGGGCAGUGUGAAUAUUCUCUUAGCCCUGAGCUAAGGUGCAGUGUGAAUGCAUAUUUUCUGUGUGAAAGUUGGAACAAAUGUGUGUUCUUUCAAUCACCAAAUCUCCUUUUUUGUCAUUAAAGCCUCUCUCUCUUUUUUUUCAACUAUCUCCGUCUUUGUUUUUCUUCUUUAGUGCCUCAUUCUGUCUGUUUCUAUAUACUGUUAUUCUUCCUCCUCACUGAUACAAUGUUAAAAAAAAAAGUAUCUUGCUAAGUUUCCUGUACGUUUCUAGCUAUGACAUGAAGUGGUAUAAGACAGUACUAGUAAAGCAAGAUGAAAAAUACUUUUAAAAAGGUCUCACAUUACUACCGGAGGUAUUUAUAAGGCUUUGUUUAGAAUGUGUUCAGUACAAAAUGUAAUCCAACUCCUCAUGCCUUAAGGUUUGAUGCAUAUUAAAAUAUCUAUGAAUUCAUUACUUCA